UCCGAGUUGACCCCGGCAGUCUCCUAUGAGUCCCCGGCAUAACCCGCUGGCAGCAUAGGACGAGGGUUGCGCUCGUUGCGGGACUUAACCCAACAUCUCACGACACGAGCUGACGACAACCAUGCACCACCUGUGCACUGGCCCCGAAGGGCUGCCGUAUUUCUACGACAUUCCAGUGCAUGUCAAGCCUUGGUAAGGUUCUUCGCGUCGCGUCGAAUUAAACCACAUGCUCCGCUGCUUGUGCGGGCCCCCGUCAAUUCCUUUGAGUUUUAAUCUUGCGACCGUACUCCCCAGGCGGAAUGCUUAAUGCGUUAGCGUCGUCACGGAAGGAGUCGACACCUCCCACAACUAGUGCCCAUCGUUUACGGCGUGGACUAC
This 378-nucleotide unclassified non-coding RNA is filed under the name uncultured Actinomycetes bacterium. RNAcentral's name for it is "uncultured actinobacterium contains 16S-23S intergenic spacer region". The record is from RNAcentral. Lineage: Bacteria; Bacillati; Actinomycetota; Actinomycetes.